UGGGGAAUAUUGCACAAUGGAGGGAACUCUGAUGCAGCGACGCCGCGUGAGUGAUGAAGGAAUUCGUUUCGUAAAACUCUGUUCUAUGGGAAGAAAAGGACUGUACCAUAGGAGAAAGCUCCGGCUAAAUACGUGCCAGCAGCCGCGGUAAUACGUAUGGAGCGAGCGUUGUCCGGAAUUAUUGGGCGUAAAGGGUGCGCAGGCGGCUUUACAAGUUGGAUGUGAAAUAUUGUGGCUCAACCACAAACGUGCAUCCAAAACUGCAAAGCUUGAGUUAAGGAGAGGUAAGUGGAAUUCCUGGUGUAGCGGUGGAAUGCGUAGAUAUCAGGAGGAAUACCGGUGGCGAAGGCAACUUACUGGACUUAAACUGACGCUCAGGCACGAAAGCGUGGGGAGCAACCAGG
This 404-nucleotide ribosomal RNA is filed under the name Fusobacteriota bacterium. RNAcentral's name for it is "Fusobacteria bacterium partial 16S ribosomal RNA". It matches the Rfam family "Bacterial small subunit ribosomal RNA", at positions 355 to 776 of the family's 1533-position model. The record is from RNAcentral. Lineage: Bacteria; Fusobacteriati; Fusobacteriota.